GGCUGGUCCCAGUGCAGUGAUGUUUACAACUAAUUGAACACAACCAGUAACAGAUUUCUUUGUUCCUUCUCCACUCUCACCGCUUCACUUGACUAGCCUUUU
Y RNA from Callithrix jacchus (white-tufted-ear marmoset), 102 nucleotides. It matches the Rfam family "Y RNA". Rfam says of the family: Y RNAs are components of the Ro ribonucleoprotein particle (Ro RNP), in association with Ro60 and La proteins. The Y RNAs and Ro60 and La proteins are well conserved, but the function of the Ro RNP is not known. The record is from Ensembl. Lineage: Eukaryota; Metazoa; Chordata; Mammalia; Primates; Cebidae.